Molecule: ribosomal RNA, 799 nt
Filed under: uncultured bacterium
Lineage: Bacteria
Description: bacterial SSU rRNA
Rfam family: Bacterial small subunit ribosomal RNA
Source: RNAcentral
AGUCGAGCGAGCGGAACUAACAGAUUUACUUCGGUAAUGACGUUAGGAAAGCGAGCGGCGGAUGGGUGAGUAACACGUGGGGAACCUGCCCCAUAGUCUGGGAUACCACUUGGAAACAGGUGCUAAUACCGGAUAAGAAAGCAGAUCGCAUGAUCAGCUUUUAAAAGGCGGCGUAAGCUGUCGCUAUGGGAUGGCCCCGCGGUGCAUUAGCUAGUUGGUAAGGUAAAGGCUUACCAAGGCGAUGAUGCAUAGCCGAGUUGAGAGACUGAUCGGCCACAUUGGGACUGAGACACGGCCCAAACUCCUACGGGAGGCAGCAGUAGGGAAUCUUCCACAAUGGACGCAAGUCUGAUGGAGCAACGCCGCGUGAGUGAAGAAGGUUUUCGGAUCGUAAAGCUCUGUUGUUGGUGAAGAAGGAUAGAGGUAGUAACUGGCCUUUAUUUGACGGUAAUCAACCAGAAAGUCACGGCUAACUACGUGCCAGCAGCCGCGGUAAUACGUAGGUGGCAAGCGUUGUCCGGAUUUAUUGGGCGUAAAGCGAGCGCAGGCGGAAGAAUAAGUCUGAUGUGAAAGCCCUCGGCUUAACCGAGGAACUGCAUCGGAAACUGUUUUUCUUGAGUGCAGAAGAGGAGAGUGGAACUCCAUGUGUAGCGGUGGAAUGCGUAGAUAUAUGGAAGAACACCAGUGGCGAAGGCGGCUCUCUGGUCUGCAACUGACGCUGAGGCUCGAAAGCAUGGGUAGUGAACAGGAUUAGAUACCCUGGUAGUCCAUGCCGUANACGAUGAGUGCUAAGUGUUGG